UCAGUAAACACGCUUUACAACAAAACCACCAUUUUUAUUACCCAGUACAACAGUGUAUUAUUCUUGUUACCAAUGUAGUUUCAGUGCAAAGUUGAAAUUCAAACAUGAUAUUAAACAGUAAGGCAAAUCUUUAUCGCGUAUAUAUUUUCUUUCAGAACAUGUUUUAUUUGAUGAUCACGUGUAUACAUAAAAAUCGAUUAAAACUUUGAGAUCACAUAAUCUCAGGUAUGCAAUAGUGUCAUGAUUUUAUCUCUCAUUUCUGUUCAUAUAUCAGAUAAGGUCGCCAGGGAUUCGCCAUCGUAAAUAUCUACAUAACAGAUAUCGUGAUUGUGUCAUGUUCCCCGUUAGAUUACAUACAUUUCAAUAACUGUGGAAGAAAAUUAAAAUGGCUCAUUCUUUCAUGAGUAAGCUUUGCACACGAACCAUUCCGGUAGAUAGUAUCCAUGAUUUGGAAAAAGGGGAUCACAUAAAAUUUCAUCGCCUUGCAUUUACCCAUCAUGCUAUUGUCACAGACGUUUUCACAGACAGAGACGAGUUUGAGGUGAUUGAAAUGGGAUUAACCAUUAACCAAAGUCCCAGAAUUGGAUUAAAAAGGUCUCUGAAGAAAAUGACAAAAUGGCGAAAAUUAAUCCCAGUAAUUUACAAAUAUCAUUACAGAAAUGUUGACCGCAUACCCCCCGAAAUAACAAUUGCAACUUUGGAAGUUCUUUUGGAAAAUAGAGAUAAGAUACCGUAUCAUCUAUUAAAAAAUAAUUGUGAACACAUCGCAACAUUCUGUGUCACCGGAAUAAGUUCUAGCCAGCAAGUAUUAAGAGGAAUUUCUGCUGCUCCUACAACGGUUGCUACAACAGCUGUUGUUCUGUUGGGAGUUCUUACGCGGAUAGGACUUUUGCUGCUUUGAUAAUGGACUGAAACGCAUAUAAGGGAACAGCUUAGCAACUCGUUUAAUCGGAUGAGAAAUGAAAUGUACGAUAUUUACCAAUUAAAUUAGAUGAUGUCAGGAGACUACUAAACAACAUGAAGAAACCAACAACAAAAUUCCUUUCGUUCUUACACACAACCCGAAAAAUCACAACAUAUUCAAAACAGCCAAACAGUUAUUCUCUAUUCUUCAAGAAUCAGAAACAUUAAAUGCCCUCAUUCAGCCCACGGAUAUACUCCACAGCAGACGUCAACCACCAAAUUUGAAAAAAAAAUUCUCACUAAAGCCAAAUCUACACCAAACCCCGAAAAAUCUUCAAAUGCGAGGAUCAACGAUGCGGUACUUGCCAAUUUAUACAAACCAGCCACUCCAUAACUUUCAAAAAACGGAAUGAACUUCAAUGUAAAUUCAACUAUGACGUGUAAAACUAAAAAUCUACUUUAUUGUAUGACGUGCCCUACAUGUGGAGAAAACUAUAUAAGUUAAACAUGAACCAAUAUGGCUGACCGUGUUUGUGUACAUAAACAACAGAUCAGAGAUCCUACAAUAAGAAACACAUCGUGUAGCGGACAUUUUGAUUCGUGCGGGGAAGGCAGUUUUUAUAUUUCCCCAUUUUACAAAGUAAAAGAGGAAAAUGAACAAUUACGCAGAGCCAAGGAAAACUAUUUCAUAAAACUGUUUAAGCCGAAACUGAACUGUUAAUAUUUUUACUACAUGUAAUUUAACAUGUACAUUUUACAUAGAAUGUCUCCUUUAAUGUACAGGGAUUCAGAGGUGCUUACAAUUUAUAGACUGAACUGUUUUAAAUGUGUGUGUAUUUUUAAAAGUGCCUAACAUUAACAUUGUAUAAUGUUCUGACGUCACAAUCAUGACUGUAUUAUGUUUAACGUUACCUACAUAACGUCACGAGGAUGACGUCAUAAUGGAACUUGUUUACAAUGUUUAAAAAUCUACUGACGAGCCCGCAGGGCGAGAGCGCUAUAGAUAAAAAUUUCAGUAUUGGA
Long non-coding RNA from Ostrea edulis (European flat oyster), 1926 nucleotides. RefSeq lists it as uncharacterized. The record is from RefSeq and is a predicted model, not a curated record. Lineage: Eukaryota; Metazoa; Mollusca; Bivalvia; Ostreida; Ostreidae. The transcript has 2 exons.